UGAAUUUGGACCCAAUAAUUUUGGCCCUAGCAGUCCUUCAUUGUUGGCUUUAUUAUUCUCCUCGGCCAACGCGUCACAGAAAGCUCUAUGGGUGAUAAAGCUAUCUCUUCUGCACCGAUAAAUGAGUACACACAACGAACCAGGCCCAUCUAAGAGAUUAUAUUAGACAACGACUCUGACUAAAAAGUACGUGACGCACAUAUGGUGCCGCGGAUAUAGUUAGAAUCAGAAAGCUUCAUCGAGGACCUAACUGCACAUGCAUAUUAGAAGUUGGAAUUCAUUGAUGAUUUUGUGAUGAACCUGGAGAAGAUGGUGCCACAGUCACAUUUGUAUUCCCUAGUGCCACAGAUCUUAGAAUGGGCUUUCCAGUCGGAUUGGACUGCGUAUCUCUUAGAGCACUUUUCGCACUUCCAUUUCUUCUCGCCAUGUUUUCUUGAGAAAUGUUUCUUAAUGCCAGUAAGGUCACCCAGUGCUCGUGCUGGGUUAUGGUGGACGCACGAAGGCUCUGGACAAACAUAAACACGCUUUCGAACCUCUGUGGUCGGCCUCUGUUUAAGCUUCCAUGGCAGGUUAUGGCCUCUCCGGUGCAAUUGCAGGUUCUGAUCCCUUUGGAAUCCUUUGUUGCAGAUUUCACACACGAAUCGGUUUCUCGCCAUCAGGGUGUUCGGUGAUAGAGCAAUCACUUCAGCACUUGGAUCUGCACGCCACAGCGCACACACAAACCCACAAUUUAAAAAAAGUAGUGAUUUUUAUGUUUGGUACUGUCCAAUUUAUGAAUAAAGUGACAAAUGAAAAAGCUGAUCA
Prosopis cineraria is the source of this 804-nucleotide long non-coding RNA. RefSeq lists it as uncharacterized. NCBI's taxonomy places the organism in Eukaryota, Viridiplantae, Streptophyta, Magnoliopsida, Fabales, Fabaceae. The transcript has 2 exons. The record is from RefSeq and is a predicted model, not a curated record.